RNAcentral lists this long non-coding RNA (1084 nucleotides) under Sorghum bicolor (sorghum). RNAcentral's name for it is "long non-coding RNA (SBIC_LNC001606)". The record is from RNAcentral. Lineage: Eukaryota; Viridiplantae; Streptophyta; Magnoliopsida; Poales; Poaceae.
UUGGGAUUGUCCGUAGUUUGCGAUAGAUUAUUUAAAUAUCAGUCCUCAUUAGUAGUAUAUAUAUAAUAAUGCCAGAGUCCUAAUGUAAUAUUUUGCUUAGUCAGCGUGUGAUGUCUCAUUCGAAGCACUGCUGAGUUGCUGACAGCAAGAAUAAAUUGACAGCUUAUGCACGUGAAAUCAUGUUGAUAUCUGAGGGUGUUUUAGGUGCUCGUUGGGUGUAGUAUCUUCUCUGUGGCAGUUGACCAUACUUUCUAAAAUCGAUGGAGGGAUUCCCAUGACAUUUCUUGUCGGCCUGCGUUCUCUGCACAUUAUGACUUUAUGAGUGGCUCCAUCAUCUAUGGAAUCGUACUUUCAGGCUUUUCAGUGUUCCAGCUCCAAGUUGUUUUAUACUCCCUCCAUCCCAAAUUGUAAGUCAUUCCAAGAAUCUUGGAGAGUCAAAGCAUUUUCAUAUUUGACUAAAAUUAUAGGGUGAAAUACUAGAAUUUUUUUUUAUUUUUAGCCUAUUUUUAAAACAAAUUUCAAAUUUAGACUGCUUCUUAAAAAAUUUUCAAAUCUAGGCCGUUUGGCCCCGCCACCAUGCAUGGCGGGGCAAAAACACUGCACCGCCAUGCAUGGUGGCGGGGUAGACCCUGCCACGUGGCGCUGCAUGGCCGAGGUGGCUGACCUGGACCUCGCCAUGAUCGCUGGCGGGUUAGGGCUACCCCGCCAUGGAUCAUGGUGGGGUACGUACCAAGCAAUGCAAUGCACACGAGGCAGAGAGCUGGACUUGUUUAGUUCCAAAAAUUUUUGGGAAAGUCGAUACUGUAGUACUUUCGUUUGUAUUUGAAAAAUAUUAUCCAAUCAUGGACUAACUAGGGUCAAAAAAUUCGUCUCGUUAAUUUCGACUAAACUAUAUAAUUAAUUUUUAUUUUUAUCUAUAUUUAAUACUUCAUACAUACGUCUAAGAUUCGAUGUGACGAGAAAUCUGAAAAAUUUUGCAAUUUUUUUUGGAAAUUAAACAAGGCUGACAAGACAUGUUUGUCCUGUGGUCUGCUCACGUAUGAAUUGAGCACAUCAUGGAGUCUAGGGUCACAUCUGUAGUCUA